Molecule: long non-coding RNA, 1641 nt
Organism: Athalia rosae (coleseed sawfly)
Lineage: Eukaryota; Metazoa; Arthropoda; Insecta; Hymenoptera; Athaliidae
Exons: 4
Source: RefSeq, a predicted model, not a curated record
CCUCUUCUCUUGCUGCCUGACUACCGCCACACUCCACAAGGCCAGGUUCCAGUGGAUACUCCGCGAUCAACUCCGGAUCAUCUCCGCACUCAGGCAUUGCUUUUAUUUCUGUUUCCUCGUGCAAUUGCUGGAAAAUAAUGAUUCGAUUAGGUUCAUAUUAACACAUUACUUGCAGCGGCAGUAAAUUUCUGUACCUGAAAACCACAGAGUCCUAACUCCAAUUUUAAUUCAGCAGUAUAAUUGAUAGGUUUCAUAUCUGUUUUAGUGAAAUAAAUUGAUGAUUAUAUGCAAAACCGUUGAUCCCUACGGAUGCAAAGAAAAAAGCAACUGAUAGAAAUUUUGUAUUUCUCAUGUGAAAGUAGAUAACAUUUCUUAUUUUUCAUACUCCUUGACGCUAUACUUGUAUAUUUGUGUGUAAUUUUUCGUAAAAAAAAAUAUUUUUUCUUUUUUUUAAAAUGAAACAAGCCACGGUGCAUAAUACGUAAUUGUCAUGUGCUACUGAUUGGUAAAUUGAAUAGAGAUCAAUCAAACACUGUAUUCAUAUCGUGUUGCUGUUUGUUAAAAGAAUUGAAAUAAAUUGCCAGGUAUGUUAAUGAGCAACGGUCAAUACAACUUUGGCAAAAGUAGUAAGACUAGCUUUGCAAAAUAAGAAGAGAGAGAAAAAAAGAAAAGAAAAAAAACCUGUCAAAUAAUUUCAGCUUCUCAAUGAUCUAAUUUUGAAACAUGGAUCUCUAAGUCACUGCCAAAUAUGAAGAGAAAGAAAAAAAAAGAAAACAGUCAUUGACUAUUAUCUGUUACAGCAUGAUUAGUAUAAAUACAUUCAUUAAUGAUUCUCCAUUCAUUUGAAACAAAGAGAAAAAAAAUACACAACAAACAAACAAAAAAUUAAUAUUAUAAGGUAAUUCAUGUAUAAAUUAUUCAUAUAAUUAUUAUACAAUAGAAAUAAAUACGAGUAAUUCAAAACAGGAACCCAACGAUCGAAGCUUACUUGGAUAUCCCUUUGCAAAAUUAUUUUCAAUAAUCUGGAGUUAGAAUUCUAUGGGUUUCAUGGCAAAGAUAUAAAAAUGACAGAACGAUCAGUGAUUGAAAUUGUGAAAUGUGACAAGGGAGAAAAUUUUUAAUGACUCACAAUUUUUCUUUGAAUCCCUUCAGAGUCUCUUUUCUCCCACCUUUCUUUUUCUAUGUCAACACCUGUCUGCUCAUCGGAGUUAUCUUCUUCGGAACUUCUCCGCAUGAGCAUCAAGUCAUAAUCGGUAUAGGCUCGCCUUGUAAAACUCGAACUUCAUCUUCCGGCAUAUCUUCCAUCAUCAGGCUACCACACGUACGUUUUGCUGUAUUAAAUGAAUCUGUUCUGAACAAACGGUGCAUCUCUAUUUCUGAAAAAGCAAAAGUUUGUGUUGUUUCCUCCGCACCCAAUAAAAAUAGAAGUUCAAUAAUCAAUUCGUCAUACGGAAACAAGACCUACAAGAUCUAUAGCCCAGCAUAAAACUUUAAUGAAGAUCUUUCUCUCCUUGAGAUUGUCCAGAGGGCUCGUCGCUUGAAGAUUUUUUGUUAGCGACCAUGUGAUGAUAGGGAAGGGUAUUCUUAGCCCCGAUUAAUAUAUCGCAAUAUUCUUUGCCAACUAAGGUUCUCAACGUAUGC